This 523-nucleotide ribosomal RNA is filed under the name Bacillus pumilus. Its description in RNAcentral is "bacterial SSU rRNA". It matches the Rfam family "Bacterial small subunit ribosomal RNA", at positions 382 to 895 of the family's 1533-position model. Lineage: Bacteria; Bacillati; Bacillota; Bacilli; Caryophanales; Bacillaceae. The record is from RNAcentral.
UCUGACGGAGCAACGCCGCGUGAGUGAUGAAGGUUUUCGGAUCGUAAAGCUCUGUUGUUAGGGAAGAACAAGUGCAAGAGUAACUGCUUGCACCUUGACGGUACCUAACCAGAAAGCCACGGCUAACUACGUGCCAGCAGCCGCGGUAAUACGUAGGUGGCAAGCGUUGUCCGGAAUUAUUGGGCGUAAAGGGCUCGCAGGCGGUUUCUUAAGUCUGAUGUGAAAGCCCCCGGCUCAACCGGGGAGGGUCAUUGGAAACUGGGAAACUUGAGUGCAGAAGAGGAGAGUGGAAUUCCCACGUGUAGCGGUGAAAUGCGUAGAGAUGUGGAGGAACACCAGUGGCGAAGGCGACUCUCUGGUCUGUAACUGACGCUGAGGAGCGAAAGCGUGGGGAGCGAACAGGAUUAGAUACCCUGGUAGUCCACGCCGUAAACGAUGAGUGCUAAGUGUUAGGGGGUUUCCGCCCCUUAGUGCUGCAGCUAACGCAUUAAGCACUCCGCCUGGGGAGUACGGUCGCAAGACU